RNAcentral lists this ribosomal RNA (555 nucleotides) under uncultured organism. RNAcentral describes it as "bacterial SSU rRNA". It matches the Rfam family "Bacterial small subunit ribosomal RNA", at positions 89 to 653 of the family's 1533-position model. The record is from RNAcentral.
UGGAAAGUGGCGAACGGGUGAGUAACACGUAGGUGACCUGCCCUGAGGAGGGGAAUAGGCGUGGGAAACCACGGCUAAUACCCCGGAUGUCUAAGCUGUUAGAGGGCUUAGACUAAAGCCCCUGCAAGGGGUGCGCCUCGGGAGGGGCCUGCGGGCUAUCAGCUAUGUUGGUGGGGUAAUGGCUUACCAAGGCGAAGACGGCUAGGGGGCGUGAGAGCGCGACCCCCCACAAUGGAACUGAGACACGGUCCAUACUCCUACGGGAGGCAGCAGUGAGGAAUAUUGCGCAAUGGGGGCAACCCUGACGCAGCAACGCCGCGUGGACGAUGAAGGCCUUCGGGUUGUAAAGUCCUUUUCUGAAGGAAGAUAGUGACGGUACUUCAGGAAUAAGUCCCGGCUAACUACGUGCCAGCAGCCGCGGUAAAACGUAGGGGGCGAGCGUAAUCCGGAUUUACUGGGCGUAAAGCGCACGUAGGCGGCAUCGUAAGUUGGACGGUGAAAGCUCCCGGAUCAACUGGGAGAGGUCGUACAAAACUGUGGUGCUAGAGGUUGAUA